This 497-nucleotide ribosomal RNA is filed under the name uncultured bacterium. RNAcentral describes it as "partial 16S ribosomal RNA". It matches the Rfam family "Bacterial small subunit ribosomal RNA", at positions 28 to 507 of the family's 1533-position model. The record is from RNAcentral.
GAUGAACGCUGGCGGCGUGCCUAAUACAUGCAAGUCGAGCGAACAGACGAGGAGCUUGCUCCUCUGACGUUAGCGGCGGACGGGUGAGUAACACGUGGAUAACCUACCUAUAUGACUGGGAUAACUACGGGAAACCGGAGCUAAUACCGGAUAAUAUAUUGAACCGCAUGGUUCAAUAGUGAAAGACGGCUUUGCUGUCACUUAUAGCUGGAUCCGCGCCGCAUUAGCUAGUUGGUAAGGUAACGGCGUACCAAGGCGACGAUGCGUAGCCGACCCGAGAGGGUGGUCGGCCAAACUGGAACGGAGACACGGUCCAGACUCCUACGGGAGGCAGCAGUAGGGAAUCUUGCGCAAUGGGCGAAAGCCUGACGGAGCAACGCCGCGUGAGUGAUGAAGGUCUUCGGAUCGUAAAACUCUGUUAUUAGGGAAGAAAAAAUGUGUGAGUAACUAUGCACGUCUUGACGGUACCUAAUCAAAAAGCCACGGCUAACUACGUG